This is a long non-coding RNA of Cottoperca gobio, 2571 nucleotides long. NCBI's taxonomy places the organism in Eukaryota, Metazoa, Chordata, Actinopteri, Perciformes, Bovichtidae. The record is from Ensembl.
AUUUUACUCUUUUACAUGCAUUUAUUGUUUUGCUAAUCAAGUGCUUGCAUUGUCUAACUUUAGCCAUUUAGCAGUUUGUCUAAAACACAUCUUUGACAGGUAACUUUAGCCUACUUAAAACAAAAAAAGGAAUUGUGAAAUAUCUAUAUUUGUCCAAGUGCUUUAUGUCUCUGCACCAUUGUGCUGUAUCUGUUUUCUCUUCAUUCUGCCAUCGCAGCACAGAUUUGUUAAAUAAAAUAUCAGCUACACAGUAACCUAAAAGUCGUUUCGUUACAGGCCCAGUUGUGUUAGGAUUUCCGACUAUACGUACUUGAACGCACCAAGGGGUAGGAUUUACAAUUCAGGAGAAGUCAAGACACGAAGUUUAUAAGGUGGCAUUGAACGCAGCACACGGCUCCGUAUUUUUUUCACUGCAAUAGAGGGGAGGGAGAAGGGGGGGUAUUUGACUCCUGUCUCCCCACCCCCAGUCCGUACGAGGUGGAUUAAGGAAGAAAGGAACCAAAACCUGGGACGCGGAGAUAACGAGAGCCACCAAUAAAGAGAUACACAUUUGAGAUCCGCGCGCGGCGGUGUCGCGCACGGAUUAUUAUAGGGUAUUUACUUUUUCGUUCACUGAGGAGAUUCUGGCUCGCAGCGUCUGAUGUGGGGGAAAGGAAUACAAACGAACGGGGAAUAAUAGCAGUAUUUUAUACUCUCUCCCUCCGUCAACAAGUGACUGCUCAAGAAAGUGGAAUAUAGCGGGGAUUUUUCUACCGUCGGGGAUGCAAAGUAACUGCUUUUCUGAGGGGAGACGACCGCUCAUCCACAACGAAUACGGAUUUUAAAAUCUGCCCCCCCCCCCCAGUAAACCAACUAGGGGGUAGUUUCAGAAAUACUUUUUCUCACGCCGUUAAAAGUGCCAUACCGUCCUGCGUGAAUACCCCCAACCUUCCCUGCGCAGUCGGGGCCUCGGCUCUCCAGCCAGGUCAAAGACCAGUCCCACCCCACCCCUCCCUGCCCCCCUUUCCCUACUGGAGCCAAGAUGGCCACAAGCGGUGCCCCUCGCCUCUCCUUGCCACUCCUGCUGCCUGUCACCACUCUGCUGCUAUCACUGCUGCUCACCGGCUCCCACGCCUUAUGUAAGUACCAAGACACUGAGUAGCCGUGCUGCUACCAAUAACUUAGUAUGUAGUGCCCUUUAGAGGGCCAUUGUUCAUAUACCUUGGAAAUGGAAUAUUGCAGAAAGGUGGUGGAUGGCAAGUAAACAAAGCAUCGGUGAACAUUUCCUUUCCUAGAGCUUUACAUAGAGAUACUUCGGCUGCGUUCUGCUACUGUCCUCUUGAGUUUGCUUUUGGUGAGCAUGUAGAGGCAUAUCUUAUUAUCUUAAAUCGUUAAUAUCUCAUCUUGCAAAUCUUCAUCUCCGAAAGGUAUGUCAUGUAUAGGAUGUCUCUGCUUUUGCCUCAGCCAAAGAACAUAAGAAUGUCAGUACAACCUGAAGGGCUAGUUUUGACUUGUAAUGUUAAUUGGCAUUCUUACAUCUGCAUUAAUAUUUGUAUUAAACUUGUGAUGAGUGAGCAUGUAGGGCCUCCAUGAUUUUGCUCAAAGACGAGGAUAUGUGACUGUUGAUGGACACGUUCACUGUUACAAAUACUUAAAAUGAAAGUUUUCGGCUGUCACAUUUUUCAGAUACACAUCAGCCCCACCCGGGCCUUUUUAAAUCACGGAUGUCUUAAAGAUAUUUAUCAUUUAGAUAUGAUGCCUGUCCGUAUAAAUCGUCCUCCAUAACUCGGCAUAACAGAGGAACGACAGUAGUCUCUUAUACCACCCUGUCAACUCCUGCUUAGGAUUUGUUCUGCACCAUUUCCCCGUUAAGAUGGGCUUAGAGCAGCAUUAAGGAGACAAAACAAAGAGGAGGCUCUGUAGAGAAAUAGAACAAGAGUGAUGGCGAGGUGGGGAGGCUCCCCCUUGGGUAUCAUUGUUUGUAAAUCCUGUGUGUGUGUGUGUGGCUAAGUGUGAUGGUGAGAAUGUAAAAGAAUUAUAUAUGUAUGACGUCGUCGAAUGUUUGUACGUCUGUAGAUCAUUCUGAGCGUGUGUGUGUGUGUGUGGAAGUGUGUCAGUUUAUGCGACAUGUGAAUGAUGUGUGCGCACAUUUCUAAGGAAAGGCAGGGCUAGGACAUCGCCUCGUUUUUAUCGGAUCUAAUCUGUUCCGCUUCCUCUCAGUCUGUCUGUCUCUGUACAAUUUCUGCUUGGACAAAAAGUAAAAAAAAAAGAAAGUAAAAUAGCACUUAAAUAAAUAAUAAGAUAUAUGUUUUGAUGAUUAUGGACGGGAAGCCCCGGUAGCUCAUCUGGUAAAGUGGGCUGGCCCAUGUACAAAGGCCAAGUCCUUACGCAAGAGGCUAUAUUCAUAUGUAAACAAACCCCGAAACUAGAUUAAAUCUACAAAAGAAAAAUGAGAACGAUCUAAAAACAAAGUUGGGAUGUACCAAUAUUAUAUUAUAUUGAGUUUUUCGAAUGAAGCUUGAAAUGUCCUUUCUGACGUCGUCCCACUUGAAAAAUGGAAAUGUUAUUGUGGUUAUAUAAAUGUUAUUUAUU